CCUACGGGAGGCAGCAGUGAGGAAUAUUGGUCAAUGGGCGCGAGCCUGAACCAGCCAAGUAGCGUGAAGGAUGACUGCCCUACGGGUUGUAAACUUCUUUUAUAAAGGAAUAAAGUGAGGCACGUGUGCCUUUUUGUAUGUACUUUAUGAAUAAGGAUCGGCUAACUCCGUGCCAGCAGCCGCGGUAAUACGGAGGAUUCGAGCGUUAUCCGGAUUUAUUGGGUUUAAAGGGAGCGUAGAUGGGUUGUUACGUCAGUUGUGAAAGUUUGCGGCUCAACCGUAAAAUUGCAGUUGAUACUGGCUGUCUUGAGUACAGUUGAGGUAGGCGGAAUUCGUGGUGUAGCGGUGAAAUGCUUAGAUAUCACGAAGAACUCCGAUUGCGAAGGCAGCUUACUAAACUGCCACUGACAUUGAUGCUCGAAAGUGUGGGUAUCAAACAGGAUUAGAUACCCUGGUAGUC
Molecule: ribosomal RNA, 460 nt
Filed under: uncultured bacterium
Lineage: Bacteria
Description: partial 16S ribosomal RNA
Rfam family: Bacterial small subunit ribosomal RNA
Source: RNAcentral